GGAGAGUAGGCUAAAGGUAUAACAUUUUUUUUUAAUUUUUAUUUUGCUUAUUUAUAAGGUCCUUAAUUUUGACUUAAUGAUUAUUUUAUAUGUAAGUUGUGCUGAAGCUUAGAAAUUUAGAUUUGCAAGCAUUGAUCCGAAAUUAGAAGAAAAGUUGGAUCAAAUGUUCAUGAGAAUAGUUGCAACUGACAACAAAGCAUGGGCUCCUUCUUCAAGUAUACUCCCUAGUAAUUUAUUUGAGAAUGAAAACAAUGAGACACUUGAAGAAAAUAAAGGAAAUUAGACUUGACAUAGAUGGAGAAAC
Molecule: long non-coding RNA, 304 nt
Filed under: Gossypium raimondii (Peruvian cotton)
Lineage: Eukaryota; Viridiplantae; Streptophyta; Magnoliopsida; Malvales; Malvaceae
Description: long non-coding RNA (GRAI_LNC008568)
Source: RNAcentral